UGGGGAAUUUUGGGCAAUGGGCGAAAGCCUGAUCCAGCAAUGCCGCGUGAGUGAUGAAGGCCUUAGGGUUGUAAAGCUCUUUUACCAGGGAUGAUAAUGACAAUACCUGGAGAAUAAGCUCCGGCUAACUCCGUGCCAGCAGCCGCGGUAAUACGUAGGGACCAAGCGUUGUUCGGAUUUACUGGGCGUAAAGGGCGCGUAGGCGGCAAUUCAAGUCAUCUGUGAAAUCUCCGGGCUUAACUCGGAACGGUCAGAUGAUACUGCUUUGCUAGAGUGCAGAAGGGGCAAUCGGAAUUCUUGGUGUAGCGGUGAAAUGCGUAGAUAUGUGGAGGAACACCGAUGGCGAAGGCAGCCCCCUGGGUCAAGAUUGACGCUCAUGCACGAAAGCGUGGGGAGCAAACAGGAUUAGAUACCCAGGUAGUCCCUGAGCGGGCUGGCAAGGCGCAU
RNAcentral lists this ribosomal RNA (447 nucleotides) under uncultured bacterium. RNAcentral's name for it is "bacterial SSU rRNA". It matches the Rfam family "Bacterial small subunit ribosomal RNA", at positions 355 to 825 of the family's 1533-position model. The record is from RNAcentral.